This 468-nucleotide ribosomal RNA is filed under the name uncultured bacterium. RNAcentral's name for it is "partial 16S ribosomal RNA". It matches the Rfam family "Bacterial small subunit ribosomal RNA", at positions 28 to 507 of the family's 1533-position model. The record is from RNAcentral.
GACGAACGCUGGCGGCGUGCUUAACACAUGCAAGUCGAACGGAAAGGCCCUGCUUUUGUGGGGUGCUCGAGUGGCGAACGGGUGAGUAACACGUGAGUAACCUGCCCUUGACUUUGGGAUAACUUCAGGAAACUGGGGCUAAUACCGGAUAGGAGCUCCUGCUGCAUGGUGGGGGUUGGAAAGUUUCGGCGGUUGGGGAUGGACUCGCGGCUUAUCAGCUUGUUGGUGGGGUAGUGGCUUACCAAGGCUUUGACGGGUAGCCGGCCUGAGAGGGUGACCGGCCACAUUGGGACUGGGAUACGGCCCAGACUCCUACGGGAGGCAGCAGUGGGGAAUAUUGCACAAUGGGCGGAAGCCUGAUGCAGCAACGCCGCGUGCGGGAUGACGGCCUUCGGGUUGUGAACCGCUUUCGCCUGUGACGAAGCGUGAGUGACGGUAAUGGGUAAAGAAGCACCGGCUAACUACGUG